RNAcentral lists this non-coding RNA (30 nucleotides) under Homo sapiens (human). Lineage: Eukaryota; Metazoa; Chordata; Mammalia; Primates; Hominidae. The record is from RNAcentral.
UGGUUGUUGAUGUUGGUGAGCGUAUCCUUC